GUAAUUCACUAUUGUAAGUCGCUUUGGACAAAAGCGUCUGCCAAAUGCAAUGUA
This is a regulatory RNA element of Astyanax mexicanus (Mexican tetra), 54 nucleotides long. It matches the Rfam family "UnaL2 LINE 3' element". Rfam says of the family: The eel long interspersed element (LINE) UnaL2 and its partner short interspersed element (SINE) share a conserved 3' tail containing a stem-loop that is critical for their retrotransposition. Lineage: Eukaryota; Metazoa; Chordata; Actinopteri; Characiformes; Acestrorhamphidae. The record is from Rfam.